RNAcentral lists this ribosomal RNA (326 nucleotides) under uncultured bacterium. Its description in RNAcentral is "bacterial SSU rRNA". It matches the Rfam family "Bacterial small subunit ribosomal RNA", at positions 29 to 334 of the family's 1533-position model. The record is from RNAcentral.
AAUGAACGCUGGCGGCGUGCUUAACACAUGCAAGUCGUACGAGAAAUCUUUAGCUUGCUAGAGAGAGUAAAGUGGCGCACGGGUGAGUAACGCGUGGAUAAUCUACCCUUGAAUCGGGGAUAACAUUGCGAAAGCGAUGCUAAUACCGGAUGAUAUCAUAAAAGCUUCGGCUUUAAUGAUCAAAGAUGACCUCUACCUGUAAGUUGUUGUUUGAGGAGGAGUCCGCGUACCAUUAGCUUGUUGGUAGGGUAACGGCCUACCAAGGCCACGAUGGUUAGCUGGUCUGAGAGGAUGAUCAGCCACACUGGAACUGACACACGGUCCAG